GCGGCGGUGGCGCAGAGGCGACGCAGCAGACUUAGGAUCUGUGGCCUGUGAAAGGGCUUGAGGGUUCGAAUCCCUUCCGCCGCACGA
Molecule: transfer RNA, 87 nt
Filed under: Streptomyces sp. W1SF4
Lineage: Bacteria; Bacillati; Actinomycetota; Actinomycetes; Kitasatosporales; Streptomycetaceae
Description: tRNA-Leu
Rfam family: tRNA
About the family: Transfer RNA (tRNA) molecules are approximately 80 nucleotides in length. Their secondary structure includes four short double-helical elements and three loops (D, anti-codon, and T loops).
Source: RNAcentral